RNAcentral lists this unclassified non-coding RNA (268 nucleotides) under uncultured bacterium. RNAcentral's name for it is "contains 16S-23S intergenic spacer region". The record is from RNAcentral.
AUGGCGGUAGCAUCUAACAUCUUUCCCAUCUCCUUUUUACUUUUUCUGCCGCGCUUUUUUCUCACGCCUUCUUCAACAUAGGAAGAACCUCCUGCCCCGUUUCCAGCAGAGUUGGUCAUUUUGGUCUCACACUCAGUAUCGAAAUCCAAAGAUUGUAUUUCUUCGUGACUGGAAAGACUUGGGUUUGCAUCCACACGAGUGUCUGUGCUCCCUUGCUCCAUUGGAAACAGACAAACAAGUUCAAAAUGUGAACCCUAGCUUUGUCUAC